Long non-coding RNA from Papaver somniferum (opium poppy), 2627 nucleotides. RefSeq lists it as uncharacterized. NCBI's taxonomy places the organism in Eukaryota, Viridiplantae, Streptophyta, Magnoliopsida, Ranunculales, Papaveraceae. The transcript is spliced from 4 exons. The record is from RefSeq and is a predicted model, not a curated record.
CAGGGUUCAAACAGACAGAGAGUCUGAAAAAUGAGUAGAUAGAUCUAAGUAGUUAGUUAUCGGUUGAUCCAAAUACUAAAACAGAAAUGAAGAAACAGAAAGAAUUAGAAGGUGCUGGAAGAAAAGCGUACAAUAAAUCAAAUUUGUUUGGGUUGUUGCUGAAAAAUACUCAGAAGACCAAAAUGAAAAGGAAGAAGAAGCAAAAUGGUUUAUGCAGUCGGUGAUUAGUGUAUUUGGUACGAGCGAACUCGAAAAAAAUAACCAUUUCUAUCGAAACCAUCACCUUUCUAUAUUUCCUUUGAGAUCGACGUCUAAGAGAUUCAAGAGAUGUAAUGCUUUGGUGAUAUUCAUGAGAAGUGCAGUGAUGUCAACUGAAUUGUUCCGUGUACUCUUGGAUGCUUGGCAUGCAUUAUGGCCAAUAAUGCCGCGGUGCAUGCUUUUCUUAGGUGACAAUAUCAGCAAAAAUGGUCCAACUACGUAUCUUCUCGGCCAUUGAUUUUGCUGUUGCUGCAAGAGCAGGAUAUGUACGUACUAGAUGAACGUUAUAAAAAAAAAGCUACCUUGUGCAUUGCCUGUGGAAUAUUUAGGAACAAGAAAGUUAAAUGGAUAUACAUCGCUAUUUUGGACUACUGAAGAUCAUCAGGUACUUUCCAACCGCAACAUUAGAAGUAGAAGCCACCAGAAAGCCAAGCUCGCAAUGGAUAGGAGGAACUUCUCUCGGUCCGAAGCUUAAAUGGUAUGCAUAUCCAUAUGUUGGUCUUUGCAGUAACUUUUCACUCCUGCAACAUCCUCUUGGCAUAUGAAUCCAGGGCCAUAAGCAUUGAAAGGUUUUGUAUUUUUAUUCUCUGUGUCCUGUUUACAGUCUUAUGAAAAUGCUGGCAAAUUCAACAGUGGGAGAUAAGCCUUUUCUGGCUGGUGCAUAGAGAUUGACUUGGAUACCCUGGUUGUUUCAAAUGAAACCUUUGCUAGGUUGAGAUCUUUGAAUAUUACAUGUUUUCUCUUGGCAUUUUAUUGUUGCGUUUUCUCGUUCUUUUAUGUUAAUAUCACCUUGAUGUCGGUAUUUAUCUCUAACUUACCAGUGGAUGAUUUCAUUUGGAUUCGAUAUAUAUAUGCUCUCAAGCUGGUCAAGAUUGACACACAAUCAUCUGGUUCAGUAUUUAUGAAAUUACUCAGUAACUUUGACUGCUGCAUACACUGCACCCGCAGAAUUGAUAAGAAAUGGAUAUCAUGGUUGUAAGCCGUGUUGGCUGGUACCAGUCACAUUGACGUUCAAUUUUGUAGUAUAGUUAAGAGUUGCAACUUCGUAAUAGUUCUCUAACAACGCUUAUAUGCUGAAAUAACGCGCUUUAGAUAAGCUGUUUUAAUUUUCCCCUAUAAGUCAUUUAUGUAGAAAGUUACCUGGCAUGCAUCUAUCAGUCUACUUUUAUUUCUCAAACUCUGUUAGAAUGAUCUAAGAUUACCUUUGUCCUACACUUCACAGCCAAUUUGACAUACUAUCCUCAGAAAUUAAAUCUUUUCCCUGAGACACACAUGAAACAUCAGGGACGACUUGACAAUGCCACUUAAAGUGAGCUUAGAAUCUGCCAGAGUGUCUUUAGAGGAGGCACCCAACAAGGAUGUCAAUUGCAAAAGCUUAUCCACUAUUUGAGUCUCGCUCAUAGGUAUCGUACGCGGUAUCUCCUCAAUAGAUUUGGUCUUCUCUUUUUUUUAGCCACACCAACCUCAAAGUCGUUACCACAGACUAUAGGGUAAUUGGUGACCUCCAUGAAAUCUAUUUGUGGAUUCAGAUAAUUGAUGUUUAGGUAUAAAUGCGCGUCUCUAUCUUCUCAGAAUUGGUCAUCUCUAAUAAUCUAUUUUGAACAUUUGAACCCUUUUGUUCAUAUUCUGUCUAGUUUUCUUAAAACCAAACACGUUAAGAAGAAACGAGUAUCAAUUCUUAUAUGAACCAAUGAUAAUAAUUUGUGGUUCAACGAUGAACAGGAUGACCAUGGGGAAGUUGCAAGCUUAGAAUGAUGCCGAAGGAGAGUCUGAUGGCGAACAGAUUGAACAUUCUAUAAUGCCACUGAAAGUGCCUUGGGCAUCUGACAGUUAAAGCUUACAAUAUGAAUUCCGAGCAACUUCUACAAGAAUUUACUUUUUAGAUGGCAAAAAGUUUGCAUCAAAAGAAAGAUUUUUUUUUAAUUUGAAUUAAGUUUCGUCCUUUUUAGAUGGCAACUUCUACAAGAAUUUACUAGUUAAAGAAAGUCUAUACUCAGGGGUUGCUACUUUGUCCUACAAGAGUACUGAGAGAACUCCAAGCAGAAUUCUUGCCGGGUUCUGCCCACUUUCCUGAAGAAGGAAAAGCUCUCCUUCCAGCAUUGUAGUGGUUACAAAAUGCAACACAUUUUUUGUUUGUUAAGUGAUCUUAAAAGGCUAUGGAUGAUGGUGUUGCCCUGCGAUGUACAAAAUCAACUAUUUGGUGUAUAUUCACUAGUCUGACCUUAUAAGUCAAUUUUCAUGUCCGCAAUGAAACUAUCAAGUUUAUGUACAACAUACAAGUAGGGGGAAAAAUUGUUCAAAAAGUUGUUUAAUUUGAGCUCGGGGUAUCAGAAUGUAAGUUAGCUAAAAGCAGUUCCUUUGGAAUGAAC